GGNGGCGUGCCUAAUACAUGCAAGUCGAACGAACUCUGGUAUUGAUUGGUGCUUGCAUCAUGAUUUACAUUUGAGUGAGUGGCGAACUGGUGAGUAACACGUGGGAAACCUGCCCAGAAGCGGGGGAUAACACCUGGAAACAGAUGCUAAUACCGCAUAACAACUUGGACCGCAUGGUCCGAGCUUGAAAGAUGGCUUCGGCUAUCACUUUUGGAUGGUCCCGCGGCGUAUUAGCUAGAUGGUGGGGUAACGGCUCACCAUGGCAAUGAUACGUAGCCGACCUGAGAGGGUAAUCGGCCACAUUGGGACUGAGACACGGCCCAAACUCCUACGGGAGGCAGCAGUAGGGAAUCUUCCACAAUGGACGAAAGUCUGAUGGAGCAACGCCGCGUGAGUGAAGAAGGGUUUCGGCUCGUAAAACUCUGUUGUUAAAGAAGAACAUNUCUGAGAGUAACUGUUCAGGUAU
RNAcentral lists this ribosomal RNA (466 nucleotides) under Lactiplantibacillus plantarum. RNAcentral's name for it is "bacterial SSU rRNA". It matches the Rfam family "Bacterial small subunit ribosomal RNA", at positions 38 to 478 of the family's 1533-position model. The record is from RNAcentral. Lineage: Bacteria; Bacillati; Bacillota; Bacilli; Lactobacillales; Lactobacillaceae.